UACAGAGGGUGCGAGCGUUGUCCGGAAUCACUGGGCGUAAAGGGCGCGUAGGCGGUGACUUAAGCGUGUGGUGAAAGCUCGGGGCUCAACCCCGAGUCGGCCGUGCGAACUGGGUCACUUGAGCGUAUCAGAGGCAGGCGGAAUUCCGGGUGUAGCGGUGGAAUGCGUAGAGAUCCGGAAGAACACCGGUGGCGAAGGCGGCCUGCUGGGAUACUUGCUGACGCUGAGGCGCGACAGCGUGGGGAGCAAA
This 250-nucleotide ribosomal RNA is filed under the name uncultured bacterium. RNAcentral describes it as "partial 16S ribosomal RNA". It matches the Rfam family "Bacterial small subunit ribosomal RNA", at positions 524 to 772 of the family's 1533-position model. The record is from RNAcentral.